Molecule: ribosomal RNA, 209 nt
Filed under: uncultured bacterium
Lineage: Bacteria
Description: partial 16S ribosomal RNA
Rfam family: Bacterial small subunit ribosomal RNA
Source: RNAcentral
CUCGUAGGCGGCCAACUAAGUCAGACGUGAAAUCCCUCGGCUUAACCGGGGAACUGCAUCUGAUACUGGAUGGCUUGAGAUCGGGAGAGGGAUGCGGAAUUCCAGGUGUAGCGGUGAAAUGCGUAGAUAUCUGGAGGAACACCGGUGGCGAAGGCGGCAUCCUGGACCGACACUGACGCUGAUGAGCGAAAGCCAGGGGAGCAAAACGG